RNAcentral lists this unclassified non-coding RNA (200 nucleotides) under Leucosporidium sp. RNAcentral describes it as "partial internal transcribed spacer 2". Lineage: Eukaryota; Fungi; Basidiomycota; Microbotryomycetes; Leucosporidiales; Leucosporidiaceae. The record is from RNAcentral.
UUAAGUUCAGCGGGUAAUCCUGCCUGAUCUGAGGUCUAAUCUAAAGUUGACUAAAGUAGUUGGAAGCUUCUACUGAGAUCUCAUUCGGCCACACUACAAGAGCGUGUCCUCAGCGAAUAGUCUAUUACACUGAGUCAAUCCGAGUUCGAAUUAGAGAUGCUAAUAUAUUACGAACGAGCUAGAUCCGAAGACCAGCAACG